GGGUCAGUAGGUUGGUCGUGCCACCGGUACGUACUGGUCUCACUGAUUCCCCCUUCUUGAAGAACCGUAAUGCCAUUAAUUUGGUGUUGCGGGGAAACAGGACUGUUACUUUGAAAAAAUUAGAGUGUUUAAAGCAAGCUAACGCUUGAAUACAUUAGCAUGGAGUAAUGAAAUAGGACGAUCGAUCCUAUUUUGUUGGUUUCUAGGAUUGACGUA
Molecule: ribosomal RNA, 216 nt
Filed under: Glomeromycotina sp.
Lineage: Eukaryota; Fungi; Glomeromycota
Description: partial small subunit ribosomal RNA
Rfam family: Eukaryotic small subunit ribosomal RNA (bases 54-216)
Source: RNAcentral